RNAcentral lists this ribosomal RNA (510 nucleotides) under uncultured bacterium. Its description in RNAcentral is "partial 16S ribosomal RNA". The record is from RNAcentral.
GGAGUUAGCCGGUGCUUCUUCUGCGAGUAACGUCACAGAUGUAAGGUAUUAACUUACACCCUUUCCUCCUCGCUGAAAGUGCUUUACAACCCGAAGGCCUUCUUCACACACGCGGCAUGGCUGCAUCAGGGUUUCCCCCAUUGUGCAAUAUUCCCCACUGCUGCCUCCCGUAGGAGUCUGGGCCGUGUCUCAGUCCCAGUGUGGCUGAUCAUCCUCUCAGACCAGCUAGGGAUCGUCGCCUAGGUGAGCCUUUACCUCACCUACUAGCUAAUCCCACCUGGGCUUAUCCAUCAGCGCAAGGCCCGAAGGUCCCCUGCUUUCCCCCGUAGGGCGUAUGCGGUAUUAGCAGUCGUUUCCAACUGUUAUCCCCCACAAAUGGGCAAAUUCCCAGGCAUUACUCACCCGUCCGCCGCUCGUCAUCUUCAAAGCAAGCUUUUGAAAUGUUACCGCUCGACUUGCAUGUGUUAGGCCUGCCGCCAGCGUUCAAUCUGAGCCAGAAUCGAAACCUGA